RNAcentral lists this ribosomal RNA (468 nucleotides) under uncultured bacterium. Its description in RNAcentral is "partial 16S ribosomal RNA". It matches the Rfam family "Bacterial small subunit ribosomal RNA", at positions 28 to 507 of the family's 1533-position model. The record is from RNAcentral.
GACGAACGCUGGCGGCGUGCUUAACACAUGCAAGUCGAACGGAAAGGCCCUGCUUUUGUGGGGUGCUCGAGCGGCGAACGGGUGAGUAACACGUGAGUAACCUGCCCUUGACUUUGGGAUAACUUCAGGAAACUGGGGCUAAUACCGGAUAGGAGCUCCUGCUGCAUGGUGGGGGUUGGAAAGUUUCGGCGGUUGGGGAUGGACUCGCGGCUUAUCAGCUGGUUGGUGGGGUAGUGGCUUACCAAGGCUUUGACGGGUAGCCGGCCUGAGAGGGUGACCGGCCUCAUUGGGACUGAGAUACGGCCCAGACUCCUACGGGGGGCAGCAGUGGGGAAUAUUGCACAAUGGGCGGAAGCCUGAUGCAGCAACGCCGCGUGCGGGAUGACGGCCUUCGGGUUGUAAACCGCUUUCGCCUGUGACGAAGCGUGAGUGACGGUACUGGGUAAAGAAGCACCGGCUAACUACGUG